RNAcentral lists this ribosomal RNA (491 nucleotides) under uncultured bacterium. Its description in RNAcentral is "partial 16S ribosomal RNA". It matches the Rfam family "Bacterial small subunit ribosomal RNA", at positions 29 to 507 of the family's 1533-position model. The record is from RNAcentral.
GUGAACGCUGGCGGUAGGCCUAACACCUGCAAGUCGAACGGCAGCACAGUAAGAGCUUGCUCUUACGGGUGGCGAGUGGCGGACGGGUGAGGAAUACAUCGGAAUCUACUUUUUCGUGGGGGAUAACGUAGGGAAACUUACGCUAAUACCGCAUACGACCUACGGGUGAAAGCAGGGGAUCUUCGGACCUUGCGCGAUUGAAUGAGCCGAUGUCGGAUUAGCUAGUUGGCGGGGUAAAGGCCCACCAAGGCGACGAUCCGUAGCUGGUCUGAGAGGAUGAUCAGCCACACUGGAACUGAGACACGGUCCAGACUCCUACGGGAGGCAGCAGUGGGGAAUAUUGGACAAUGGGCGCAAGCCUGAUCCAGCCAUACCGCGUGGGUGAAGAAGGCCUUCGGGUUGUAAAGCCCUUUUGUUGGGAAAGAAAAGCAGCAGGUUAAUACCCCGCUGUUCUGUCGGUACCCAAAGAAUAAGCACCGGCUAACUUCGUG